AAUGAACGUUGGCGGCGUGGAUUAGGCAUGCAAGUCGCGCGAUUGCCUUCGGGCAAGAGCGGCGGAAGGGAGAGUAACGCGUAGAUACCUACCCUCGGGACCGGAAUAGCGACGGGAAACUGUCGGUAAUGCCGGAUAACGUCCCUGGACCAAAGGUGUGAAUCCGCCUGAGGAGGGGUCUGCGUCCUAUUAGCUAGUCGGCGGGGUAACGGCCCACCGAGGCGAAGAUGGGUACCGGGCGUGAGAGCGUGACCCGGCUCACUGGGACUGAGACACUGCCCAGACACCUACGGGUGGCUGCAGUCGAGAAUCUUCGGCAAUGAGCGCAAGCUUGACCGAGCGACGCCGCGUGCGGGAUGAAGGCUUUCGGGUUGUAAACCGCUGUCAGUGGGGAGGAAAUUCUUGGGGGUACUCCCCCUUGAUUGACCGAUCCGCAGAGGAAGGACGGGCUAAGUUCGUG
RNAcentral lists this ribosomal RNA (460 nucleotides) under uncultured bacterium. RNAcentral describes it as "bacterial SSU rRNA". It matches the Rfam family "Bacterial small subunit ribosomal RNA", at positions 28 to 507 of the family's 1533-position model. The record is from RNAcentral.